Molecule: ribosomal RNA, 497 nt
Filed under: uncultured bacterium
Lineage: Bacteria
Description: partial 16S ribosomal RNA
Rfam family: Bacterial small subunit ribosomal RNA
Source: RNAcentral
GAUGAACGCUGGCGGCGUGCUUAAUACAUGCAAGUCGAACGGACAGAUGGGGGUCUUGCUGGUGUCGCGUGGGGCGCGGGCGUGUGAUACACACGAGUAUCCCCUCCCUAUCAGGAUGAGAUAACUACGGGAAAGCGGAUAUAAUACCCGAUAAGAUCUUGAACCCGGGGGUUCGUUGGUGAAAGCCGGUUUUGCUGUCACGUAUCGAUGCUUCCUCGCCGGUUUAGCUAGUUGGUACGGUAACGGCUUACUAAGGCGACGAUGCGUAGCCGACCUGAGAGGGGGAUCGGCCACACUGGAACUGAGACACGGUCCAGACUCCUACGGGAGGCAGCAGUAGGGAAUCUUCCGCAAUGGGCGAAAGCCUGACGCAGCAACGCCGCGUGAGGGACGAAGGCCUUCGGAUCGUAAAACUCUGUUAUUAGGGAAGAACAGAUUUGGAAUGAAACAUGGAGGUCGUGACGGUACCGAAUGAAAAAGCACCGGCUAACUACGUG